AGGAUAAACGCUGAAGGCAUCUAAGCGUGAAGCCCCCCUCAAAACAAGGUAUCCCUUGAGAGCCGUGGAAGACCACCACGUCGAUAGGCCGGAGAUGUAAGCGCAGCAAUGCGUUCAGUUGACCGGUACUAAUGGCUCGAUUGGCUUGAUUUGAUCCGG
RNAcentral lists this ribosomal RNA (159 nucleotides) under Citromicrobium sp. RNAcentral's name for it is "partial 23S ribosomal RNA". It matches the Rfam family "Bacterial large subunit ribosomal RNA", at positions 2761 to 2925 of the family's 2925-position model. The record is from RNAcentral. Lineage: Bacteria; Pseudomonadati; Pseudomonadota; Alphaproteobacteria; Sphingomonadales; Sphingomonadaceae.